This 1151-nucleotide ribosomal RNA is filed under the name Curtobacterium citreum. RNAcentral describes it as "bacterial SSU rRNA". It matches the Rfam family "Bacterial small subunit ribosomal RNA", at positions 28 to 1191 of the family's 1533-position model. Lineage: Bacteria; Bacillati; Actinomycetota; Actinomycetes; Micrococcales; Microbacteriaceae. The record is from RNAcentral.
GACGAACGCUGGCGGCGUGCUUAACACAUGCAAGUCGAACGAUGAUGCCCAGCUUGCUGGGUGGAUUAGUGGCGAACGGGUGAGUAACACGUGAGUAACCUGCCCCUGACUCUGGGAUAAGCGUUGGAAACGACGUCUAAUACUGGAUAUGACUGCCGGCCGCAUGGUCUGGUGGUGGAAAGAUUUUUUGGUUGGGGAUGGACUCGCGGCCUAUCAGCUUGUUGGUGAGGUAAUGGCUCACCAAGGCGACGACGGGUAGCCGGCCUGAGAGGGUGACCGGCCACACUGGGACUGAGACACGGCCCAGACUCCUACGGGAGGCAGCAGUGGGGAAUAUUGCACAAUGGGCGAAAGCCUGAUGCAGCAACGCCGCGUGAGGGAUGACGGCCUUCGGGUUGUAAACCUCUUUUAGUAGGGAAGAAGCGUAAGUGACGGUACCUGCAGAAAAAGCACCGGCUAACUACGUGCCAGCAGCCGCGGUAAUACGUAGGGUGCAAGCGUUGUCCGGAAUUAUUGGGCGUAAAGAGCUCGUAGGCGGUUUGUCGCGUCUGCUGUGAAAUCCCGAGGCUCAACCUCGGGCUUGCAGUGGGUACGGGCAGACUAGAGUGCGGUAGGGGAGAUUGGAAUUCCUGGUGUAGCGGUGGAAUGCGCAGAUAUCAGGAGGAACACCGAUGGCGAAGGCAGAUCUCUGGGCCGUAACUGACGCUGAGGAGCGAAAGCGUGGGGAGCGAACAGGAUUAGAUACCCUGGUAGUCCACGCCGUAAACGUUGGGCGCUAGAUGUAGGGACCUUUCCACGGUUUCUGUGUCGUAGCUAACGCAUUAAGCGCCCCGCCUGGGGAGUACGGCCGCAAGGCUAAAACUCAAAGGAAUUGACGGGGGCCCGCACAAGCGGCGGAGCAUGCGGAUUAAUUCGAUGCAACGCGAAGAACCUUACCAAGGCUUGACAUACACCGGAAACGGCCAGAGAUGGUUGCCCCCUUGUGGUCGGUGUACAGGUGGUGCAUGGUUGUCGUCAGCUCGUGUCGUGAGAUGUUGGGUUAAGUCCCGCAACGAGCGCAACCCUCGUUCUAUGUUGCCAGCGCGUUAUGGCGGGGACUCAUAGGAGACUGCCGGGGUCAACUCGGAGGAAGGUGGGGAUGACGUCAAAUC